Molecule: microRNA, 23 nt
Filed under: Oryctolagus cuniculus (rabbit)
Lineage: Eukaryota; Metazoa; Chordata; Mammalia; Lagomorpha; Leporidae
Description: Ocu-Mir-8-P1a_3p (mature (guide))
Source: RNAcentral
UAAUACUGCCUGGUAAUGAUGGC